GCGCAGGUGUUGAAAUUGGUAGACAUUACGCCUUGAGGUGGCGUAGCCCGCAAGGGCGUGGGGGUUCGAGUCCCCCCCUGCGCACAA
RNAcentral lists this transfer RNA (87 nucleotides) under Candidatus Kaiserbacteria bacterium RIFCSPLOWO2_01_FULL_54_24. RNAcentral describes it as "tRNA-Leu". It matches the Rfam family "tRNA". Rfam says of the family: Transfer RNA (tRNA) molecules are approximately 80 nucleotides in length. Their secondary structure includes four short double-helical elements and three loops (D, anti-codon, and T loops). Lineage: Bacteria; Candidatus Kaiseribacteriota. The record is from RNAcentral.